This 804-nucleotide ribosomal RNA is filed under the name uncultured bacterium. Its description in RNAcentral is "bacterial SSU rRNA". It matches the Rfam family "Bacterial small subunit ribosomal RNA", at positions 626 to 1431 of the family's 1533-position model. The record is from RNAcentral.
UUNUGAACUGGGUAGCUAGAGUAUGUCAGAGGGGGGUAGAAUUCCACGUGUAGCAGUGAAAUGCGUAGAGAUGUGGAGGAAUACCGAUGGCGAAGGCAGCCCCCUGGGAUAAUACUGACGUUCAUGCUCGAAAGCGUGGGUAGCAAACAGGAUUAGAUACCCUGGUAGUCCACGCCCUAAACGAUGUCGAUUAGCUGUUGGGCAACUUGAUUGCUUAGUAGCGUAGCUAACGCGUGAAAUCGACCGCCUGGGGAGUACGGUCGCAAGAUUAAAACUCAAAGGAAUUGACGGGGACCCGCACAAGCGGUGGAUGAUGUGGAUUAAUUCGAUGCAACGCGAAGAACCUUACCUGGUCUUGACAUGUACGGAAUCUUUCAGAGACGGAAGAGUGCCUUCGGGAGCCGUAACACAGGUGCUGCAUGGCUGUCGUCAGCUCGUGUCGUGAGAUGUUGGGUUAAGUCCCGCAACGAGCGCAACCCUUGUCAUUAGUUGCCAUCAUUAAGUUGGGCACUCUAAUGAGACUGCCGGUGACAAACCGGAGGAAGGUGGGGAUGACGUCAAGUCCUCAUGGCCCUUAUGACCAGGGCUUCACACGUCAUACAAUGGUCGGUACAAAGGGUAGCCAAGCCGCGAGGUGGAGCCAAUCUCAGAAAACCGAUCGUAGUCCGGAUUGCACUCUGCAACUCGAGUGCAUGAAGUCGGAAUCGCUAGUAAUCGCAGGUCAGCAUACUGCGGUGAAUACGUUCCCGGGUCUUGUACACACCGCCCGUCACACCAUGGGAGUGGGGGAUACCAGAAGUAGGU